This is an RNA transcript of Prinia subflava (tawny-flanked prinia), 10255 nucleotides long. It is a transcript of the gene named SET domain containing 1B, histone lysine methyltransferase, with no coding region annotated. The transcript is spliced from 19 exons. The record is from RefSeq and is a predicted model, not a curated record. NCBI's taxonomy places the organism in Eukaryota, Metazoa, Chordata, Aves, Passeriformes, Cisticolidae.
GGGCGGCCGCGGGCCGGGGGCUGCGCGGCGCGGCCGCCGUGAAUGUGCAGGCGGCGGAGCGCGGUUAGGCGUUCGCGGCGCUCGCAGCGGUGUAUUGUGGGAUCCCGGCCGCCGCCAGCAGCGAGCACACACAAUAUGUGGUGGCUCGCGAAAACGGGAGGCAGGAGCCUGGCGGGCAGCCCGCGCCGGUAACCGGCCCCAUGUGAGACGGGAGCUCGCCUUUCGCCGCCCGGAGACGAUCGGCCGCCCAGCGCGAUGUCUUUCCGAGAGACCAAGGCGGGGGAAAAAGCCAAGCACCCUGAAGAUCAUGGCAAAAAGCAGAGUUCAAGUUGGAUCAACGGAAUGGAGAACAGCACGCAAGCCAGCACUUCUGUCGAGAAAAGAAAUCACCAUUGGAGAAGUUACAAGUUGAUUAUUGACCCGGCUCUGAAAAAAGGACAGCACAAACUCUACCGUUACGAUGGGCAACAUUUCAGCAUGCCUAACUCGGGGAUCGCUCCUGUGGAUUGUGUCAGAGAUCCCAGAAUAGGGCGAAUAUGGACCAAAACUAAGGAGCUGGAGCUGUCUGUCCCCAAAUUCAAGAUUGAUGAAUUUUACGUGGGGCCAGUGCCUCCCAAGCAGGUCACUUUUGCCAAGCUGAACGACAACAUCCGCGAAAACUUUUUGGCCGAUAUGUGCAAGAAAUACGGCGAAGUGGAAGAGGUGGAGAUUCUCUACAACCCCAAGAACAAGAAGCACCUGGGCAUUGCCAAAGUCAUCUUUGCCACUGUCAAGGGUGCCCGGGAGGCUGUGCAGCACCUUCACAACACCUCCGUCAUGGGCAACAUCAUCCACGUGGAGCUGGAUACAAAAGGUGAAACCCGCAUGAGAUUCUAUGAACUGCUGGUUAAUGGUCUUUACACUCCUCAGACCCUCCCUGUAGGCACCGAACAGGACGUGUCCCCAACUGGGAACGAAGCUCUCCAGUUGACAGACUCCCUGAAGCGCCUGAAGGACAGUUCCCUUUCUUCCGUGGGCUCCUCCGUUACCCCCAACAGCAGCACGCCCUUUUCCCAUGACACAGCCUAUUCCAGCUGUCGGCAGGACACCCCGAACUCCUACAGCCAAUUCACCCCGCAGUCCCAAGGAACACCCCACACCCCACGCCUGGGGACGCCGUUCUCCCAGGAUUCCACCUACUCCAGCCGACAGACGACCCCUGUGUACCAUUUUGGGCAGGACAGCGGGUACAAAUCCAGGAGGCACGAGACGAAAUUCACGGAUGCGUACAACCGUCGCCCGGGACACCACUACAUGCACAACUCGGCCGGGGUGUUCCGAGGCACAGAGCAUCAGUUCAGUACCUUCAAAUCCCAUCAGCAGGAGCCAGUUCAGUUCUCUCACACUCCUCCCCUGAGCCACUCUAGUUCUUCGAGCUAUAAAUCUGCCUUCUCCCCCUACCAAGCACCAACUGUUUUCCCCCAGUCGGACGAGCAGCCGUUUCCCCAAACUUCCAGGGAGACGGAGUACCGGAGACCUGCUCCGCCUCCCGCCGAGAUGGUUGUGGAGAGCAGCGCUGCCCCGAGCAUCGACUUUGUCCCAGUGAAGGAGAAGCCGGAGGAGCCUCCGCCCUUGCCUGACUCAAACUCUGUUCCUGAACCGAGCACAGCGUCCUUCUCUCAGACUCCAGAGAGGAGCGAGACCCCUGGCACCCCCACUAUGGAGGCUGAGAUGCAGCAUAACAGUUUAGACUCAAGGAUUGAGAUGCUCUUAAAAGAGCAGAGAACAAAAUUACCCUUUCUUAACGAGCAUGACUCAGAUAAUGAGAUCCGAAUGGAAGGUAGCCCCAUUUCCUCCUCUUCUUCCCAGCUCUCCCCCAUCCCAACAUACGGUUCGAACUCUCAGCCUGGUUUCAGGGGUCAGACGCCUUCCUCGCGCCCUUCCAGCACAGGCUUGGAGGACAUCAGCCCCACACCCUUACCUGACUCUGAUGACGACGAGCCCAUCCCUGGGACAGCUCCUCUGAGUCAGAAUUCCCGGGGGACAUCAGAGGCCAGCAUGACUCCCAUUGAUCAGCUGAGCAGGACAUCCAAAAUUGAGACCCUGGAGGCUAAAGAAAUGGUACCUGGUGACCAGUCUCCAAUGUCAGAAAAAAUGGAUGAGGGUCAGCAUUCCUCAGGGGAGGACAUGGAAAUCUCUGACGACGAGACCAACCCAGCGCCCAUCACCAGCGCGGAAUGUCCCAAAACCAUCGUGGUGAACUCCUCCGUCAGCAACACGGCCGUGAUGGCCCCGUCCAUCCCCCCGCUGCCACCACCGGGCUUCCCUCCUCUCCCUCCUCCUCCUCCUCCUCCUCAGCCUGGCUUCCCCAUGCCCCCUCCGCUGCCCCCGCCGCCGCCGCCCACCCACCCGGCCGUCACCGUGCCGCCGCCGCCGCUGCCCGCCCCGCCCGGGGUACCCCCACCCCACAUCCUGCCCCCGCUGCCCCCGUUCCACCCCGGCAUGUUCCCGGUCAUGCAGGUGGAUAUGAUCAGCGUCCUGGGCAACCAGUGGGGCGGCAUGCCCAUGUCCUUCCAGAUGCAGACGCAGAUGCUGAGCCGCAUGAUGCAGGCGCAGAACACGUACCAGUAUCCACCUUUCAUGACGGGCCGGAUGCAGUUUGUGAAUCUUCCUCCCUACCGCCCCUUCUCCAUGGGAGCCGCGCUCGCCCGCGGGCAGCAGUGGCCGCCCCUGCCCAAGUUUGACCCCUCGGUUCCACCCCCGGGCUAUGAGCCCAAGAAGGAAGAUCCCCACAAAGCCACGGUGGACGGAGUCCUCCUGGUCAUAGUGAAGGAGCUGAAGGCCAUCAUGAAAAGGGACCUGAACCGCAAGAUGGUCGAGGUGGUGGCGUUCCGGGCGUUCGAUGACUGGUGGGACAAGAAGGAGCGUCUGGCAAAAGCGUCUCUCACUCCCGUGAAGUCUGGAGGAGAAGUGGAGGAAAAACCAAAGCCGAAGGAUCGAAUUGCCUCUUGUCUUCUGGAGAACUGGAACAAAGGAGAAGGGCUGGGAUACGAGGCAAUCGGUUUGGGCAUUGGGUUACGAGGGGCCAUCCGCCUGCCAUCCUUCAAGGUGAAAAGAAAGGAGCCACCUGAAGCUGCCUCGGCGGGAGAUCAGAAGAGAAUCCGGCCUUCCACUUCUGUGGAUGAUGAAGAUGAAGAGUCGGAGAGGGACAGGGAUGCUUCUGAUACAACAUCUGAGCUGUCAAAGAAGGAUGCAGAGGCAGUGGGGCUGCGCCGGCGACCAGCAAGGCCACUGGAGCUCGACAGCGAGGGAGAGGAGGGAGAUGAGACAUCAGGGAAAGAGGAAGAGUCCUCCUCAGAGAAGGAAGAGGAGCAGGAAGAGGAGGGAGGCUUGGUGAAAGCAGCACCUGCCAAGGAGGAAGAGGAGGAUGAGGAGGAUGAAGAUGAUGAGGAGGAAGAUGACGACGAAGAUGAGGAUGAAGAUGAUGAGGAGGAGACAGGCAUAGACACAAGUGACAAAGAGGAGGAGCAGGACUCCGAGGAGGAUGUAGCAAGUCCCUCGUCUUCCAAGGCUGAAGUUGAAUCAUCUGAUGAAAGUGAGGACUCCUCUGAAUUCGAGUCAAGUUCAGACUCAGAUGAUGAAGAUGAGGAAGAGGAUGAUGAUGAUGAAGAUGAGGAGGAGGAAGAGGAGGAAGAGGUGGCUGAAGAUCAAAGCAGAGAAGCCAUGAUUGCCGAGCCAGAGCAUGAACCUGCUGGUCUUGAGCUUCCUGAUGAUGAGAGGGAGACUAUAUUGGACCUGUAUCCUGUGGAUGACUACAUGGAUGCCACAGGCUUGGGACUUGCUGAGCCAGCUUUGGCCGUGAAAGAUGAAGGCAGUGAAGAAAUCAAGGCAGGGGAAAGUGAGUGCGGCCAAGUCCCAGGGGCUCCUAUUGCUGCUGAAACUCUGAAACACUUGGUUAUGGAGAGAGAACAGGAAACAAAACUUGCACUCUCUCCCAUCUGCAGGCCAGAGGAAGAGCCCGAACCCCCUUCCAUGCUGGAGCCAGAGGUACAGGAAGGUCCAAAGCCUGAAUCUCAAGAUGAGGAGGCAGCUCUCUGUAUCUCUACCCCAGUGGGAGUCUUUGAAGAACCUCUGCCCAACAAAAGCAGCUUCUUUGGCAGGUCUGAGGAGAGCAGCUUAGAAGCCCGAGCUAAAGCAAAGGCGCCGUCGGCAGCGGAGGAGGACGAGCGGCUGCCGCGCACGCCUGGACGGGAGGCGAUGAUCCACACGGAGCCUGAGACCCUCCUGCUGCCAGCCCACAAGGUGCCAUCCUCCGUGCUUCCCUUGCCAUCCACUCCCGGCAAGGAAGAAUCUUUAGUCCCUCCAGAAAAGUUCCCUGAACAAUUAAUGGUGACCAAAACGUCCGUGGACGAUGAGAUUCCAAGGACUCCCGGGCGGGACAUUUUGGCCAAGUCUUCACACCCCCUCACAAAGUCGCAGAGCACGGACACUGUUCCAGCCACGCCAGGAAGUGACGCUCCCCUUACAGGCAGCAGCUUGACCCUCAGUUCCCCUCAAGUCCCAGGGAGCCCCUUUUCCUACCCUUCCCAGUCUCCUGGCAUUAACAGUGGCAUUCCUCGGACUCCUGGGAGAGAUUUCAAUUUCACGCCUACUUUCCCAGAGCCUGGUGCUACCAUUCCUUGCCUUCUGCCUGGCAAGAAACAGUCAGAGGAUGAGCUAGAGGAGAAAACCUUUAAAGAGCCUCUUGGUGCUUCCCUUACGAUCAGCAUGAACAGUGUUCCUUCCCCUAUCCCCUUCGCCAGCCCCCCGCAAGCAGAUUUCCACAUGGACAUGGGUUUGCCACCUGAUGAGCCAAUACCUGUAGCAGCCCUGCCUUGCAUGCAUGCAGAUGGAAGAAUGGCCAUCGAGGAAUGCAAGGCAGAAGUAAAACCAGGUUUGCUCUCCCCAGAAUUACCCCCUGGGGCUUCUAUUCUUCCUCCCCCACCUCCACCUUCUGUUCUUCCCAAAAGGAGGCCGGGUCGGCCGAGGCGGUCCCCACCUUCUGUGCUCCCCCUGGAUGUGUACUCGGGCAAAACCAUAGAGCCUCCUCCCAUGCCAGUGGCCUUGGUGGAAGGUGCUGUGGGCAAAGAGCUGCUGAGUGGACAUCCUGAUGCCUACUAUGGACUGAAAGACCCUGAAGCCGUCACCCUGGACUUCAGGAAUGACGGUUUCCACGAGAAAAUAGCACCUGAGACAGUUGCAGAGAAACUGCCGUUCAAGGAACUGGAGAACCAGUGGAAUGAGGACUUCAAGGAGGAAGAAGCUCAUGCAAAACCCAAGAGGCAGUGGCGAAGGCAGAAGAAGAGCUCUGAGGAGCUGCCCGUGAUCCCUUCCCCCGAGUACUCCCCGCCGCAGCCGCAGUUCCGGCCGCGCUCCGAGUUUGAGGAGAUGACGAUCCUGUACGACAUCUGGAACGGCGGCAUCGACGACGAGGACAUCAAAUUCAUGUGUAUCACGUACGACCGCUUGUUACAGCAGGACAACGGUAUGGACUGGCUCAAUGACACCCUGUGGGUUUUCCAUCCUUCUACCAGCUUUUCUACCCCCAAGAAGAAGAAGCGGGAUGACGGGAUGCGGGAGCACGUCACGGGCUGUGCGCGAAGCGAAGGCUAUUACAAAAUUGAUAAGAAGGACAAACUCAAAUACCUCAACAAUAGCCGAGCUUUUGCAGAGGAGCCUCCAGCUGACACACAGGGUAUGAGCAUCCCUGCCCAACCUCACGCUUCCACCCGGGCUGGUUCCGAGCGGCGAUCAGAGCAACGCAGGCUCCUCUCCUCCUUCACUGGUAGCUGUGACAGUGACCUGCUCAAGUUCAACCAGCUCAAGUUCCGGAAGAAAAAACUAAAAUUUUGCAAGAGCCACAUUCACGACUGGGGCCUUUUUGCUAUGGAGCCCAUUGCAGCUGAUGAGAUGGUGAUCGAGUACGUGGGUCAGAACAUCAGGCAGGUCAUCGCUGACAUGCGUGAGAAGCGAUACGAGGACGAGGGCAUCGGCAGCAGUUACAUGUUCAGGGUGGACCACGACACCAUCAUCGACGCCACCAAAUGCGGGAACUUCGCCAGGUUCAUCAACCACAGCUGCAAUCCAAAUUGUUAUGCUAAAGUGAUCACGGUGGAGUCUCAAAAGAAGAUCGUUAUCUACUCCAAGCAGCACAUCAACGUGAAUGAGGAAAUCACCUACGACUACAAAUUUCCAAUCGAGGAUGUCAAAAUCCCGUGUCUCUGUGGCUCUGAGAACUGCAGGGGAACCCUGAACUGAACUCGAGGUUUCUCGUCACACAUGCACCUUCGGCCAUGUCAAAACUGUGGUAACCAGGUGUGGUUGCACUUUGCCAAAAAAAGAGGAAGAAAAAAAAAAACACAACAGAAAAAAGGAAGAAAAAAAAAUUAAAAGCAAAAAAAUACCUACCAAAAAAAAAAAAAAAAAGAGUUAAAAGAGAAGAAAACCAAGCAAGUUUCGCACUUCUGCCAGGAUCAUGAGUGAAAGCAAAAAGCGCACACGCUGACGAGGACUGUUCAUGUUUCAGGUGCUUUUUCCUUUUCAGAUCCAACACGCACACAAAAAGGUGGCUACCUUUUGUGGCAUGGUCUAUCCAAACACUAGCUUCUCUGUUCAGUCCCUGCAGCAAUGCUCCGAAAUGGGAUAAUGGUACCUUUUUUUUUGUUUUUUAAUUGUUGUUAUCAACCUUCAUCUUUUCAUAAAUGCUGCUACCUUUUUCUCAUCAGUUUUCGUUGGUUGAAAAAGACAUUCAACGUUUAAAUGUGAAGCAGAGACUGAAAAUGCCAUAUAGGGUUUGUUGGGAGCUUGAUUGGCUGAAAUUGCACAGAUUUCUCAGAGUAAGCUGUAAAUAAAUGUAAGGUUGAUGUUACAGAGCAAGCCAGAGGCUUGAGGGCGUGUGAAUGAGUGUGUGUGUGUGCUUGGGGUGUGUGUGUGUGUGAUGUGUCCACAGUGAGACUAGAGCUGAACUCUCCUGCCUUUUCCUUAGGGAUGAGUCUGAACGAGGCCCCUCAGCCACACCCCGGGGCAGAGCCAGGUCAGCCCGACCUCAGCUCCCCUCCAAGGCCCUCCUCUCAUUUUCUAUGCCAUGCUGGUCCAUGGGGGAUCAAAACCUGCAGCUGCACGUGAGAAACCCUUGGAUACUUCAGUCACAAGGAGGAGGUGGAGUCAGCAGUGCAGCUGGAGCAUCCUGUGGCCUUUGGGGAUGCCCAGUCCUUAGAGAUGGGCUGGUCUUGCUUGCAGAAGAGGCUGAGUUUAAGUGGACAGCUCAGUUUGUGCUGUGGAAAUCGUGCCCUGCUUGCAAGCAAAGACUACGGCCCCUGUUUGUAGCAGGAUUUUCUUCCUGUGGAUGGGGAAUAGGCUGAUGUGUGACUUGUAUUCAUUUUUUCUCACUUUCAUCUGCAUUUCCCUGCCCUUCCAGUGUUUUACGUGGAGUAUUUGCUCUGUCCUUGGAUGUGGGAGAUGCCUCCUGUGAUAGGAGCAAGCUGUGCCCUGCCACUCUCCUCCCUCUGUUACUCAGUAACUUGGCCUGGGGUGGUCCCAUCCCUCCAGAAAAUCAUGACGUGCUGAGGUGAAGGUUGCAGUUCUUCAAGAGGUUCCAUUUAAAAAUGAACACCAAAAAAAUACUUUGGAUGAGAUCUGGAAAUGUUACGCCACUGUUCAGGUAUAGACAGGAUCAGUUUUUCAAUUUGCAUUGAAUUUCUCCUGCUUUAACAGUAGAGAUUAGUCAUACUAAACCCUUUUUAAUUGGCUUGUAAGGGGAAGUUGCAAUGGGAAGAUUAUCUGCAUAACUAAACACCUUCUCCCCACAGGACAAAUUGCACAGCUGUAUUCUUGUGUUCUUUCCAAGCCUCCACGAGCAGAGGUGACAACCUUGCAAAGGAGGUUCCUGGAAGCUUUUCCAGCUGUUCCAUGGAAUUGCCAGGCCUGCCCUGCAGUCAUGUAGGUCAGACCUCUGCCUCUGAAUUUCUUCUCCAGACAAGAGGCCUGAGAGAGCAGGAGCACACAGCCUGCUGCAGGCUGCCUUAAAUACCACCCGUGUUUGCCUGAGGGUGAGCAGACUGGCUCUGAGACUGGACAGUCCAUGGUCCAGCUCUACUUUUGCUUCAGUUUUGUUGGCUCCCCCCCUUCAUAAAUCUCUCCAGCAACUGGGUGUGGGUGACCCAGAACCUAAAAUUUUGAGAAGCACAAGUUUCUGUCACUGGCAGUGAUGGCAUUUGGGAGUUAAACCAGCUGCUCAAUUUAGUUGUUGUUUUUCUGAGUGAGGUUCAAUGUGUUGGCAUCUCCAUGGCUUGGCCUUUGACUUCCAAGGCUUUGGAAAUGCACAGAAGUUUCCUGUGUGUCAGAGCUGAGGCCUGGCCUUCUCCCUCUGUGCUCCAGCCAGGGCAUUAAGGGUGAAUUUGUGACCCCUCAGGACCUGCUGGCAGUUCUGUGUUCCCCAGCGUGUCUGUGUGCUCUGGAUGGGAUCAGCCCCUGCAGUUUGCCUUAAUCCUUGGUGAGGAAGGUGGAGAGGAAGGUCACUCUCACCCUUAGAUCCUUCACUGUGUUUUUAGGGGCACCAAAGGGGUUUGGGUGCCAAAGACCAGAGCACCUAAAUCACUUGGGUACUUCUGAAACCGCCUGUGAGUCAUCCCCUUUUAGGAUCCCAGGCAAGUAAUGCGAGCUUUUAGAAGAGCUGAUCUCUCAGUAGUUCCCCAGGAAGAAACAAAGCUGUGGAAGCCACAGCACUUCUGAAAAAUCCUGUUAGUCUGGUCUCAAAGCCCAGGCAGAGUCCUAGGGGAGAUGUUUUGUCUGCCUGACCUCCAAACAAAUUGUUUUGUGGUGAGGACUCCCAAGCCUGGUGCAGUGAUUUCCGUGGGUGCCCACAGGGCCCCGUUGGGCCAGGGGAGCCCUGCAGGCACAGAUGUGGUUUGGAGAUGCCUCAAAUGCUUUUCCUGGUGCUUGGCAAGGGAUGGGAUGAGAGCAGGCAGGAGCUGUGUGUGCUUCACAUGCAGCACAGGCAGCCCCUGGACACAGUGACAGGGAUAAGGGGAACCUCACCAGCACGUGCUGCUCACAGGGACUGCAGGGCUUUUGUCCCCUGAAAAACCCAGCCCCACAUUUAUUGUCACUUCCAUUUGAGCCCAAGACAAAAAAAGAGAGAGGCAUUUACAGUGCUCCCUGCAAAAUUCCAUCAGGCUGGGAGGAGGAGAACAGAGCAGAGUGGUGGAAAUGGAAUUUCAGCCUUUAGUUUGCAGCUGUGGGAGGUGGGCUGGAGGUGCCUCCGUGCUGGCACCCACAGGACCCGUGUGGGUCCCACCCUGCAGGGUCCAGGGGCUCCUCCUGCAGUUAUUUAUCUUGGAUAGAGCAGCUCAUUUCUACAAGGAAAGAAAAAACAUCAUUUUAAACUCCUACAAAUUACACAGUAGUUUCAGUUCUGGUUUUUGUGACCUUUUUCAGGGAUCAUUUCAGUGCAUUUCUGUACAAAAUAAAAAAAUUAAGGUAAAAAAGGAUUUUGAAGUAUAAAAAAUGCAUCUUCUGUACAUAGGCGAACUCAAGAAUCUUCUCUUCAAACACUGUUUCUUGUAGAAACAUGUUGAAAUUUUUUUGCUGAUUUCUUUGUACUUCAAGAGCAUGUAAAUAGUUUAUUAAAAGUGACUAUUGUAAUUUGGAGUUCUUUUUAAACAGAUUCCAGCUCUAAAUCAUGUCAAGAUGGGGAGGAAGAAGGACUGAGUAUAGCAAAGGAGCUGGUGGCAUUUACAGCUUGUGUCAAGCUUUGUAUAAUGUAAAUUCUGUAUAAAUACGGGGGUUUUUUGUCAAAUAAAUAGAUGAAAUUAGAAGCAUUAAGAAAUUGAAGACUAAAAAUUGCCAAGUCAAGGCUUCUUCUUUCCCCCCCUCCCUCAGUCUGAAACCUAAUGUGCAAAAUCUAUUUAUUUCAAGCGAGGAAAUGUGUACAGUCUAAUAGACACCCUAAAAUGUAUUUAAGAAAAUUUGCAACUGGAUUUUUUCAGUUUAAUAUUUGUUUUGUUUUUAUGAGUUUCCUCCUUAAUUGCCACUGUAGGAUUUGUCCAAGUGAAAAGAAAUACAUGAAGAAGGACACUCUAAAACAAUGGGGCAGUUUUGAAGCAAAGUGGAAGAACACCCAGCUCCCAAUUCUUGCAAUUUUCUGGUUUUAAUUCCUAGUCUGGAAAUCAAGGGCCUCCUUUAAAAGUAGGCAGGUCAAAUGUUUUGCAAUAAAUUAAAAAAAAAAUCUUUUUUUUUU